Molecule: ribosomal RNA, 492 nt
Filed under: uncultured bacterium
Lineage: Bacteria
Description: partial 16S ribosomal RNA
Rfam family: Bacterial small subunit ribosomal RNA
Source: RNAcentral
AGUGAACGCUGGCGGUAGGCCUAACACAUGCAAGUCGAACGGCAGCACAGUAAGAGCUUGCUCUUACGGGUGGCGAGUGGCGGACGGGUGAGGAAUACAUCGGAAUCUACUUUUUCGUGGGGGAUAACGUAGGGAAACUUAUGCUAAUACCGCAUACGACCUACGGGUGAAAGCAGGGGAUCUUCGGACCUUGCGCGAUUGAAUGAGCCGAUGUCGGAUUAGCUAGUUGGCGGGGUAAAGGCCCACCAAGGCGACGAUCCGUAGCUGGUCUGAGAGGAUGAUCAGCCACACUGGAACUGAGACACGGUCCAGACUCCUACGGGAGGCAGAAGUGGGGAAUAUUGGACAAUGGGCGCAAGCCUGAUCCAGCCAUACCGCGUGGGUGAAGAAGGCCUUCGGGUUGUAAAGCCCUUUUGUUGGGAAAGAAAAGCAGCAGGUUAAUACCCCGCUGUUCUGACGGUACCCAAAGAAUAAGCACCGGCUAACUUCGUG